Molecule: non-coding RNA, 118 nt
Organism: Picea glauca (white spruce)
Lineage: Eukaryota; Viridiplantae; Streptophyta; Pinopsida; Pinales; Pinaceae
Source: Rfam
AAUGGGAUUCCUACAAUUUUAAUACACGAAAUCCCAUUAGAACUCCGCAUCUAAGAACACUUUGGCUAGAGUAGUACUAGGAUGGUGACCUCUCAGAAAGUCCUAGUGUUUUACAUGC